This 526-nucleotide ribosomal RNA is filed under the name uncultured bacterium. Its description in RNAcentral is "bacterial SSU rRNA". It matches the Rfam family "Bacterial small subunit ribosomal RNA", at positions 777 to 1308 of the family's 1533-position model. The record is from RNAcentral.
AAUAGAUACCCUGGUAGUCCACGCCCUAAACGAUGUCAACUAGCUGUUGGGGGCUUCGGCCCUUGGUAGCGCAGCUAACGCGUGAAGUUGACCGCCUGGGGAGUACGGUCGCAAGAUUAAAACUCAAAGGAAUUGACGGGGACCCGCACAAGCGGUGGAUGAUGUGGAUUAAUUCAAUGCAACGCGAAAAACCUUACCUACCCUUGACAUGUCUGGAAUGCCGAAGAGAUUUGGCAGUGCUCGCAAGAGAACCGGAACACAGGUGCUGCAUGGCUGUCGUCAGCUCGUGUCGUGAGAUGUUGGGUUAAGUCCCGCAACGAGCGCAACCCUUGUCAUUAGUUGCUACGAAAGGGCACUCUAAUGAGACUGCCGGUGACAAACCGGAGGAAGGUGGGGAUGACGUCAAGUCCUCAUGGCCCUUAUGGGUAGGGCUUCACACGUCAUACAAUGGUCGGGACAGAGGGUCGCCAAGCCGCGAGGUGGAGCCAAUCCCAGAAACCCGAUCGUAGUCCGGAUCGCAGUCUGC